CGUGCUUAACACAUGCAAGUCGUACGGGAAGCUAGACUUCGGUCUGGUGGAGAGUGGCGCACGGGUGAGUAACGCGUGGGAACCUGCCUAACGGUUCGGGAUAACUACGGGAAACUGUGGCUAAUACCGAAUAUCCCCGAGGGGGGAAGCUCCGGCGCCGUUAGAUGGGCCCGCGUCCGAUUAGCUAGUUGGUGAGGUAACGGCUCACCAAGGCUCCGAUCGGUAGCUGGUCUGAGAGGAUGAUCAGCCACACUGGGACUGAGACACGGCCCAGACUCC
RNAcentral lists this ribosomal RNA (279 nucleotides) under unidentified marine bacterioplankton. Its description in RNAcentral is "partial 16S ribosomal RNA". It matches the Rfam family "Bacterial small subunit ribosomal RNA", at positions 43 to 339 of the family's 1533-position model. The record is from RNAcentral.